This is a long non-coding RNA of Heterocephalus glaber (naked mole-rat), 837 nucleotides long. Lineage: Eukaryota; Metazoa; Chordata; Mammalia; Rodentia; Bathyergidae. The record is from Ensembl.
CACCACUCACCCCCUGCCCGGAAGGUUCCUCUUUCGUACCCCCCGCCCUGCCAGCGGCCGCGCUACGACCCCUGGGACUUGUAGUCUCUGCUCCGCCCCCGGGAGGCGCCGGUGGGAGCGGCCUCUGGCCAGAAACUACAACUCACGGCGUCCCUCGCGAGGGCCCGCCAGGUGCAUCCGGUCCUCGAGUGGUCGCGAGCUAAGGAAGGCACGUAUGGAGCACGCUAGAAGUGUAGCUGCGCUUUAGCUACUUGGUUCAGGCCGGGGAACAAUGAAGACUACGUUCCCCAGGAUACCGUGCGCGGAGUUUGUCUUGGCCGUUGCUAGGAGACGUAAGCUGUUGCGGAUGGGGCUCCGAGAAAAGUGUGGGCCUCCGGUGUGGGGUGCAGGGUCCGGGCUGCAGGACUCGGUCCAGAUUCCCAGGGCAUGGCCUGGGGUCCCGCGCCCAGGUCCCAGGCAUCUUCGGGUUUCAAGCCUUUAGCGGAGCAGACGCCCCCUGGAAAAUUAAGGCCUCCGGUGGAGUUUGCACAGGCACGUACCGAUCUCCGGGCCACAAGUUCUCCAGGGCCUCACUGCCACACUUUCCUCUAGCUGCUCCAUCUUCACAGGCUAGAAACUUCUCUCACCUCACCCUUCCAACACCCAAUUCCAGCUUCCCAGAGGGGGAAAAAAACCCUUCAAAUGUGAGUAGUGAUUGCCUCUAAAAAUUAUACUGGCUUUUUAAUUUUUAUUUAUUUAUUUAUUAAAUUCUUUUAUUGGUACAUUUUAGGUAUACACUACGUUUACAUUUAUCAUCAGGUGCUUGUACCUGAACAUGAUGUAUCUUGGUUCUUUUUU